This 82-nucleotide microRNA precursor is filed under the name Danio rerio (zebrafish). RNAcentral's name for it is "microRNA dre-mir-7132 precursor". The stretch from base 14 to 71 matches the Rfam family "mir-7132 microRNA precursor family". The record is from miRBase by way of RNAcentral. Lineage: Eukaryota; Metazoa; Chordata; Actinopteri; Cypriniformes; Danionidae.
GUUUGGGUCCCUUGACUUGGUCUAAGCUCCUCAGUGUGAUGAUUAAACCUGAGGAGUUUAGAGCAAGUAAAGGGUCUUCAAC